RNAcentral lists this unclassified non-coding RNA (305 nucleotides) under plant metagenome. RNAcentral's name for it is "partial contains 5.8S ribosomal RNA, internal transcribed spacer 2, and large subunit ribosomal RNA". The stretch from base 1 to 105 matches the Rfam family "5.8S ribosomal RNA", at positions 50 to 154 of the family's 154-position model. The record is from RNAcentral.
GAAAUGCGAUAAGUAGUGUGAAUUGCAGAAUUCAGUGAAUCAUCGAAUCUUUGAACGCACAUUGCGCCCUUUGGUAUUCCUUAGGGCAUGCCUGUUCGAGCGUCAUUUGUAACCUCAAGCUCAGCUUGGUGUUGGGUGUCUGUCCCCGCCCCGCGCGGGGACUCGCCUCAAAAACAUUGGCGGCCGGUACGUUGGCUUCGAGCGCAGCAGAAACGCGAACUCGAGGCCCGACGGAUCGGCGACCAGAAGUCACUUCUUCCACAGCUUGACCUCGGAUUAGGUAGGGAUACCCGCUGAACUUAAGC